Molecule: RNA transcript, 962 nt
Organism: Nycticebus coucang (slow loris)
Lineage: Eukaryota; Metazoa; Chordata; Mammalia; Primates; Lorisidae
Gene name: adaptin ear-binding coat-associated protein 1-like
Exons: 1
Source: RefSeq, a predicted model, not a curated record
GGAUAGCGCAGCCAAGAUGGCGACCGAGUCGGAGUACAAGUGGGUGCUGUGUGUAAAGCCGGAAGUCAGCGUCUAUCGGAUUCCGCCCCGGGCCUCCAACCGCAGCUACAGGGCGUCUGACUGGAAAUUAGACCAGCCUGAUUGGACUGGUCGCCUCCGAAUCACUUCCAAAGGAAAGGUUGCCUAUAUCAAACUCAAGGAUAAAGUUUCAGGGGAGCUCUUUGCUCAGGCACCAGUAGAACAAUAUCCUGGUAUUGCUGUGGAGAAAGUGACAGAUUCCAGCCUCUACUUUGUAAUCCGGAUCCAGGAUGGUACUGGGCGCAGUGCUUUCAUUGGCACUGGCUUUGCAGAUCGGGGAGAUGCCUUCGACUUUAAUGUCUCUUUGCAAGAUCACUUCAAGUGGGUAAAGCAGGAAUCUGAGAUUUCUAAAGAAUCUCAAGAAAUGGAUACUCGUCCCAAGUUGGAUCUGGGGUUCAAGGAAGGACAGACCAUCAAGUUGAAAGGAGGUGCUUCUAAGCCUAAGACUACAGUGGGUGGGGACUUAAGCUUACUCCCACCCCCACCUGGAGGCAAAGUCACUAUUCCCCCACCGUCCUCCUCAGUUGCCAUCAGCAAUCAUGUCACCCCACCACCCAUUCCAAAAUCUAACCAUGGAGGUAGUGAUGCAGAUAUCCUUUUAGAUUUGGAUUCUCCUGCUCCUGUCACGACAUCAGCACCAGCUCCAGUUUCUGCAAGCAAUGACUUGUGGGGAGACUUUAGCAGCAUCCAGCUCUGUUCCAAACCAGGCACCACAGCCAUCCAACUGGGUCCAGUUUUGAAUAGCAUUGGCAGGACAUCAAGGACAGAUAUGAGGAAUAAAAAUGUCCUAAGGGCACCAAUGUGUGAGGGAAGUCAGGAACCCCUUCCCUCCCUGGAACCAAAAUGACUGGACAAUCUUUUCCAUAGCUUCUCCAUUGCAUUCA